AUUGAACGCUGGCGGCAUGCCUUACACAUGCAAGUCGAACGGUAACGGGCCUUCGGGUGCCGACGAGUGGCGAACGGGUGAGUAAUGCAUCGGAACGUACCUUUCAGUGGGGGGAUAACGUAGCGAAAGUUACGCUAAUACCGCAUAUUCUGUGAGCAGGAAAGCAGGGGAUCGCAAGACCUUGCGCUGAUUGAGCGGCCGAUGUCAGAUUAGCUAGUUGGUGAGGUAAAGGCUCACCAAGGCGACGAUCUGUAGCGGGUCUGAGAGGAUGAUCCGCCACACUGGAACUGAGACACGGUCCAGACUCCUACGGGAGGCAGCAGUGGGGAAUUUUGGACAAUGGGGGCAACCCUGAUCCAGCCAUGCCGCGUGUGUGAUGAAGGUCCUUAGGGUUGUAAAGCACUUUCGCCGGUGAAGAUAAUGACGGUAACCGGAGAAGAAGCCCCGGCUAACUUCGUG
Molecule: ribosomal RNA, 459 nt
Filed under: uncultured bacterium
Lineage: Bacteria
Description: bacterial SSU rRNA
Rfam family: Bacterial small subunit ribosomal RNA
Source: RNAcentral